Molecule: non-coding RNA, 113 nt
Organism: Acanthosepion pharaonis
Lineage: Eukaryota; Metazoa; Mollusca; Cephalopoda; Sepiida; Sepiidae
Source: the annotation of a GenBank genome assembly
UCCGGUCAUAUCAUGUUGAAACAUCGGUUCUCGGAAGAUCACCGAUGUUAAGCAACGUCGAGCCUGUUCAAUACCUAUAUGGGUGACCAUUUGAGAAUACCAGGUCCUGUAAG